CCAAAACAACCAUCAUUCCAUACCCAAAAUCAUCAUAACCAUGUUAACUUUACAAAAGACGGAAUACAAAAAAUAUACACAUGCUGAAAAUAGAGAAACAGCUUCGUAUUCUUUACAGCUUAUACCAAGUAUCCUUCAAUGUAUACAUGAAAAUACCUGAAAAUAUAUGAUCAUAAAACUUACAGAGUUUGAUUGAUGAAAACUUAUAAUGAGAGUGGAUAUAUAUCACAUCUUAUGUGACGCCCCCAAAAUAGGUAUACACGACCCAUUCUGAGUCGUCAGAUAUCACACUAUAAAAAUUAAAUACAAACUUCAUGUAUACAACUGUUGAACUGUCGUAUAGAAUACGACCAUAGUUAAUCUGUGAGUUUUAAUACAAUAUUAUCUCGUAGACAGUAUCCAAACUCAAAUUGUUACAAUGCCAUAUAAAAUACAGCAGCAAAAAAUUUAAGACCCCAAAGAAGAACGAGAAGAUUACUAUCAUAUUCAUUCUAAUGAGGUGCACUUUUGACGCUUUCAAAGUCGGGUUCUCAUCACCCUAUUGUUGUUCGCCAAAAUCAAUUAUUAAGUGACGUAUAAAAUAAGACACACACAUCUUAGGUCCUCAAUACAAUUAUCUGUUGCAUGUCAUGCCGUUUUAUAAUGUAUUAAGAAACUUUGACAGUCUCGGACCAUCACACUAUUUCCUUGUUAUCUCCGCUCGACCCAGCUACACUCUUAUUACCUGAAAGGAAUUGUGAAGCAAAAAGGGUGAGCACAACUAGCCUAGUAAAGAAUAUCAUGACUAAAGAUAAUUAAAUUAUCAAUAGCUUUCAUCAAUAAUAAAUCAGAGAUUUAGAACAUAUGGUAGAUGAUAAAACUUUUCAACCAUAAUUGCAGCGGAACGAACAAUCCCUUAGAAGAGUCAAAUAGACCAUCGGAUCUAUUAUCUUCUCUAUGUUAAAAGUCCACCGAUAAUGUUUUAUCCCUGUAACAUCAAUAAACAAUUCUUGUCCACAAUCAUAUGAAUAACUCAUAAUCAUAAUCGUGGUUCUAAAUUCCUCUUCGCACCCAGGACGAAGAUAAUUUUCAUCACCUAUCUUUACCUAAAACAUCAAAAAUCAUGGUUAUACCAAAUCACAAUUUAUACUCAUAAUCAUACUAAUUAAAUCAUCUUUGCACUACGGCUAAAAAUAUUCAUUAUUAUCACAUCUAUGAAUUAAUAUUUCAUUGCUGAAACUCAGCUCAAUAAUUAAUCCACAUCAUCAAUUCAUCCCUGCACUACAGGCCAAGGAUAUUCUUUAGUAUCACGACCAUGAAUUAUCCAUGCACUACGGGCCAAAGAUAAUCGUGUUUUCAUCAACGGUCCUGAUCAUGCCAUAAAAAAAUUCAUCUUUGCACCCUUGGCCGAAGAAAAUCCAUAGUCAUAAUCAUACCAAAAACUGUCCAUCAAUGCACUACGGCCAAUGAGGACUUUUUUCACAUCAUUUGUAACAUUACGGUCAUGAUUAUACCGAAUAAUCCCUGGUCAUAAUCAUACCAAGUCCAUCUUUGCACUACAUGCCACAAAUGACUUUCAACAUAAUAUAUAUAUGAGAAUGAUGACAAUGAUAUAAGUAUUAAUCAAACGAAAACAAGGAUAAAUAUUAAAGACUUUAAAUUUAUCCAAAUAUUAUCAACCACUCAUAAUCUAAUAUUAUUAAUAUCAUAACAAUAUUUUAAUUACUUCUUAAACUUAUAAACAAUUUAUUUCAAUUGUUUACACUUUACCAAAUAAUGCAUUUAAUCAUUCAAAAAAUGUCAUACUCAUCAAAUUUCAUUUCCAAUGAUCAAAUCCCUUAUCAAAAAUUUGCAUAUACCUUAUAUAGGAUUUCCAAGUCAUAAAAUCCUAUUUUUCAAUUUUGUUACAUUACAUAACAUAUUUAACUCAUAUACUCAUAACUAGUGCAUUUUCAUAAAAAAUACCAAAUCAGUCCCAAAAAUAUUUCUUUUCUGGGAUUUAGCAGAAUAUAGUCCCAUAUUGAACAUAUAUUUUUCUCAGAAUUUUUAAAAUUCAUUUACUAUUUUUCAAAUAUCAAUUUCUAAUUAAUUCCUUAAGAAAUUAGCUACCUCAAGUUUAACUCCAGAAAUUCUCAAAUCUUGGCAGGAUCUUACACAUGUUAACGUGAGCUUCCAGUUUAAAUUUCAUGGUCAUCGGAGUUAUAGAACUCCGGUUAUAGCGUUUUUCGUCGGAAAAACCUAAAUAUUGAAAUAGUCAUAACUUGCUCAUUUUAAGUCGGAAUAAGCUCAUUUUUGGACAGGAGGUACUUUACAGCAUAUAUUUUCAUGUCCCAAAAGGCCGGAAUUUUUCUCACAAUUUAAGUGGCCGAAAAUGCCCUUUUAAAAUUUUGGACAGUAGCUUUUUUGGAAAUUUCAGUUUUUGAUUCCUUUGCUAAAAUCAGUCCACACGAAAAUCUACAACACCUUUUUCAGUGAUUCCACGUGGAUAAGUUAGGAAACUCAUAGGUCUAACUCUAUAACUUGACCACACUCAAAAAUUCGAAACAUAAUAAGAGAUAUGGUCAAUUGAAUUUCAUGUUCCAUUUUCACCAAAAUCUGAUUUUUCAACCGUUUGUGAUUUCUAAGAAACUUUCAUGUUUUCACAUAAUAACCAACAUAACUCAUCAUAACACUUACUAAUACCACAUAUACCCAUGAUUUUCAUCAGUCCAAUGCUUUUAUUAUGACUUUCAUUAUAAUCCUCGUAAACAGAUCAUUUCCACAAUUUAAUAAGGAAUGAAUAUAAAGGAUCAUUCACCAUGCAUGUGGUAAUCCACAUAGACAGAUUAUUCCAACAGAAUAAUAAAGAAUGGAAUAACAGAAGAAUUCACCAUGCAUGCGAUAGACCGCACAGACAGGUUAUUCUCGACAAAAUAAUAAAUAAUGGAACCAGGUCCGGCGUAAACGCACAGACAGGAUAUUCCGACAGAAUAAUAAAUAAUGGAAUAAUAACAAAUAUCACCAUGCAUGAGAUAGACCGCACAGACAGGUUAUUCCAACAGAAUAAUAAUUAAUGAAACCAGGUCAGGCGUAAUACGCACCAACAAGAUAUUCUAACAGAAUAAUAAAGAAUUGAAUAAGAGAAGAAUUUCAUCAUGUGUGUGAUACUUCGCAUAAACAGGUUAUUCCAACAUAAUAGUAAAGAAUAGAAUAACAGAAGUUCUCUUCAUAAAUACAAAAAAAAUAAUACCCCUUACGGGUACAACAAAUAAUAUCACUUAACUUUGAAAGAAGAGUAUUCCCACUGGUAGGGCGAGGAUAUACUCGAAAAAAACUUGCACUACGCUCAAAGCUUUCUUAAACUCUAAAGAAAUACGCUCAAAAUUAUAUAAGAAGAAUUCUUUCUAUAGUUUCUCUCUCUAGAGUUUCAGUGAAUUCGUAAGAAAUAAAGAAGGAAUGAGCUUCUAUUUAUAGGAGAAUGGACUGCAUAAUAACUAAUUCAUGAACGAUCCAGAUUGAUUUACUUUUAAACGGACGGUCCAUAUUGAUUUAAUAAAAUAUUCUAAUAAAAUAAAAAUUUUUAAAUAAAAUAUAAUAUAUUCUAUUUAUAAUCUAAUAAAACGAAUAAUUUUAUAAAAGUAUUCUGUUUUAUAUAAAAAGAUUUUACUAUGCAAAAUACUAUGCAGACACUAUGCAAUACUAUGCAUAAUAAAAUAUAAUAUAUUCUAAUUAUUGUCUAAUAAAACAAAUAACUUUAUAAAAGUAUUCUGUUUUAUAUAAAAAAAAUUUACUAUGCAAAAUACUAUGCAUAAUAAAUAUUAUAUAUUCUAUUUAUAGUCUAAUAAAACGAAUAAUUUUAUAAAAGUAUUCUGUUUUAUAUAAAAAGUUUUUCUGUUUUAUUACAUUAAUAAUACUAAUAAAACAAAACUGAGUGACUUCUCACGUAAGCAUUAAUAAUCAAUACCGUGUACUACUAUGCAACCACGCGUAUUACUGUACUUUUACUACCGAGUAGUUCAACAGUNNNNNNNNNNNNNNNNNNNNNNNNNNNNNNNNNNNNNNNNNNNNNNNNNNNNNNNNNNNNNNNNNNNNNNNNNNNNNNNNNNNNNNNNNNNNNNNNNNNNNNNNNNNNNNNNNNNNNNNNNNNNNNNNNNNNNNNNNNNNNNNNNNNNNNNNNNNNNNNNNNNNNNNNNNNNNNNNNNNNNNNNNNNNNNNNNNNNNNNNNNNNNNNNNNNNNNNNNNNNNNNNNNNNNNNNNNNNNNNNNNNNNNNNNNNNNNNNNNNNNNNNNNNNNNNNNNNNNNNNNNNNNNNUUACUUUGCAAAAUUUUCACAUAUCACCCUUAACUUUAAACUUUUAUCAAUUUAACUAUUUACCAAAAUAGAAAAAUUGAAUACUUUUAUUUCAUAAAAUUCGGGGUCUCACAGCUUACAACUUUCAGAAAUAUAUAAACAUGGCUUCGCUAUAAUCACAGCUGGUCCUGAGUUUUUUAAGGCCCAGUACAAAUUUUUUUAAGUGUGCCCCUUUAUAUAAAUAAAAUAAAUAAAUAAAUAAAUUAUCAACUAAUAAUUUUAUUAAAAUUAUAAGAAUUUACAAAAGAUAAGGAAGAACAUUUUAAAAUGUCAUCGAAGCAAAGAAUCAUCACAUGUACGUACAAAAUAAAAAUAUUAAUGAAAUCGAUAAAAUUAAUGAAAUACCCAUUGUAGUUGGCAAGUUUUACUGAUUACACAAUUUAACUUUUAAUUUUUCAAAUUACCCCACUAAACUAAUUAUUAUUUUGAAAUUGGGUUAUUCCGUUAAAAAAAAUAAACGGACGUUAAUUUUUAUCUACAAAACUAAUGUACCCACUGUAGUUGGCACGUUUUACUGAUUACGCCAUGGAACUUUUAAUUUUUCAGAUUACCCCAUUAAACUAAUUAAAAAAUGAUUAUUUUAAAUAUUUUUAAAAAUAAUUAUUAUUUUCAGUAAAAAAUUAUUAGAAACUUUAAUUUUUUUUUUCCAUAAAAUGAGUAAAGUUUCAUAAAAUAUAGAUUUAAAAAAAUUAAAAUUUUAUGAAACCAUAUUGAUUUUAAAAAAAUCUUUUUUUUCUUUUGAAAAUAAAGUUUAUUUUUUGAAUCUAUAUUUUAUAAAAUUUUACUCAAUUUUUAAAAAUAUGAAGAAUUUUCCAAUUUUUUUCUUGAAAAUAAUAUUUAUUUAUAAAAAUUAAUAAUUUAUUUUUUGAAAAAAUUAAAUCAGUUUUUUUAUUUAUCUUUUACUAUUUUUUUUUAUUAAUAUUUUUAGGUUUUUUAAAAAAUUUCUAAUAUUAAAAAUAGGUCAUUCUGUUAAAAAAUUAAGUAGACAUUAAUUUUAAAUCACUUUAAUUUUUUUUAAUCUAUAUUUUAUGAAACUCUACUCAUUUUAUGAAGGAAAAAAGUUUCUAAUAUUUUUUACCUAAAAUAAUAAUUAUUUUUAAAAAUAUUUAAAAUAAUUACUUUUAAUUAGUUUGAUAAUUUAAAAAAUUAAAAGUUUAAUGGUGUAAUCAGUAAAAUGUGCUAACUACAAUAGGUAAUUAAUUAAUUUUGUAGAUAAAAAAAUAACGUCCGUUUAUUUUUUUUAACGGAAUGACACAAUUUUAAAAUAAUAAUUAGUUUAGUGGUGUAAUUUGAAAAAUUAAAAGUUCAAUGAUGUAAUCAGUAAAACCUACCAACUACAGUAGGUGUUUCUUUAGUUUUGACCAAUGAAAUCUAAACCACAAAACAUUAUUUAAAAUGUCUUUUUGUUGCACUUUUAGGUGCAAAAUCAUCAAUUAUACUAUUAUAUUUAAUAUUUCAUAUCAUUUUUAAUGUAUAAUAUCCCUAAUCUUUUUAUUAUUUUAUUUUUUUAUACACAUAAAUACAUAAACUUAUAAAAAAAUUGGGCCCCUUCAACUGUGGGCCCUGGGCGGUAGCCCUGGUGGCCCUUGCCCAGGGCCGGCUCUGACCAUAAUUAAAAUACCAAUAAUAUAUUAACCAAUUAAAAUUCAAUUCCCAAAUUACGUUAAAUCUCAUCACCCAAAAAAAAAAUCAAAACUAUAUAUCCAAAAGGCAAAGAUUUAAAUAUAUUCAAAAGACAAAUAUUUAUUAAAUAUCCAAAACUAUAUAUACUACCUUAUUCCCAUAAUGAGGGUCCUAAGUCCUAAUUCAAAAAUCAAAGAUUUAAAUGUAUUCACCUUGAAGAACAUGUUUCCCUGCCUUCAGCAGCUUCAGAGACAUAACCACCUACAUAAUUUGGUUCUCGUGUUAACAAUAUCUUUGAUCAAACAAAUAAAACAACUGAAGAAGAUAUUCCGAUAAAUAAAAAUUAAAUAUUAAAUCCAAGAGUGAAGACCGCUACAAAAUAGAAAUCUGCUAAGGUGUGCUGAAGUAUCCUUCUAGAAAGGAAUUACAAUUUUAAUGAAUAUCAAAAUUGAAAACCUUUGUGUUACUAUUUUUGCUAACUUUAUAAUAGAUGUUUAUUUAUAAGAUGCUGAGUACGCUGUUACUCUAGAAAAAAUCUUACGAUGCGCUUUUAUUAGUAUGUUUUAUAAUUUUUCAUUCUUGUUUUGGUCGCUUUUAUUAGUAGGUUUUUAAAUUUUAGUGAUGCAAUGCAAAUAAUUAUAAAUCCAGUGACCGAAUGCAAGCUUCAGGGAAAGAUUAUUUAGUAGCAUAAUGAGCACAUUUUUUGAGUCUCAUGAAAUACAAGUCCUGGGAAGAAAUAAGAAAAGAUAAUAAUCAAGUAUCCACAAGUUUUGAACUUCUUGGUUUUGUCGACUCUUCUUUUCAUGGUUGAAGAGUAAAUGGAUCUGGCAAAUCCAGAAUACUUUCAAUUGGUAGAGGGCUCAGAUCAUCUCUUACUUCUUCAUUCCUAAAUCAAUUACUUGGGAACCUAAUUAACUACAUUGGAAAAUUAGUGAAAUUUGUUAGUCAAUGUGUAAUAUCAAAUAUACAUUAGCCAGGUCAGCUUGCAUUGACCGAAUGUUUUUAACUGAAUAUGAAUAUAGCAGGAAAUUUAAAUUAGAGAUUUUUCGUUGUUAUAUGGCUCCUCAUGGCUAAAUUUAACAAUCACCAGUUACCCCAGUGGAUUUAUUACAUGGUUUUAUUUUGAUGCAUUUAAUUGGUCUAUUAAGGGAUGUCAUCUAUUAAGGGCCAUAAUUGACGUGAUGUUUACCUUUCGUAUGAUGUCUUGGAGUCUCUUUCCAGAUAGAGUUGCUUGCUCCCUUUUAGAUGCACUGAUGCAACAUCUUUCAAGGUUCUAGCAUUUAAUUUUGUUUUAAUACUUUUUAGUUUCUAUUACUUUAGCUGCUUUGCAUUUGAUGAAUUUUAUCGUCACAUGUUUUCGUAUUUUAUAGGUUGAUCUUACUCUCUUUGGAUAAAUAUUCAAACUCCUUGUGAGGUGGCAAAAUGAUUGAAUUCAUAUAGUUGAAAAUCUUAAAAUUUCCAGAAUCGAUUUUAGAGCUGCUGAGGAUUUCCCUUUAAGAUUUAGUUCCUUUGAUACAUUUAGUACUUUUGAGCUUUUAGUUUUUCUUUUUUAAGAGACUGAAAAGUUCAGACCCACAGUUUGAAGGCUAGUAUUAACAUAAAAUAAACAGAAAAUGAGUAGAUAAAUUAAGUUCACGCAACAUUGAUAAUAACCUCGGAUCCUCAAGAUCUACAGUAAUUUAUACAUAAUCAAUCAUGUAUGAAGGCAUAUUAAUAUGCCAAAAAGGAAAACGAAAUCAUGAAAGAACAAACCCCAAAGUUUUCACGGAACUCUCCCAUAGCAAGCGAAAUUGAUACCAAAAAAGUAAGAAAUUCAGGUUGGAAACAUAAACCCAGAUACAAAUAAAACACAAUUUAUGAGUUAUAAAUAAGAAUUUAUCACUGCGUCAAUCGACACAAUCAAUAAAUUCAAAACCCAGAAAGGGGUUUUACAACGCAUACAAGUCUAUAAUAGACAGAGUGAGACUUACAGUGUUAACGAAGCAACUACAAAUACUACCUAUGUGAGAAUCAAUGGAGAUGGAGAUUAAAGGAUGUAAAAUAAACCUUAUUUCUAUAGCAGCAACAGUUCGAUCCGAUUUUCUCAACCCAAAGAAGAAAGAAAAAGAUAAAAUUCCUUUUCAUGGAGACAAUACGGGGAAUGGAAAAAAUAGAGCUUCUGUAGAAGUCCCUAAAUUGCAUCCAAUUUCUGUUUAUUUUGAUUAGGUUGUGCGUGUGUAAUAGUUAUUGGGGUAAUGUGUUU
This 8173-nucleotide long non-coding RNA is filed under the name Panax ginseng (ginseng). Its description in RNAcentral is "long non-coding RNA (PGIN_LNC010425)". The record is from RNAcentral. Lineage: Eukaryota; Viridiplantae; Streptophyta; Magnoliopsida; Apiales; Araliaceae.